UGGUCAAGUUAUUAAGGGUGCAGGGCGGAUGCCUUGGCACUAGGCACUAGGAGCCGAUGAAGGACGUGAUAAGCUGCGAUAAGCUUCGGGGAGUUGCACGUAAACUUUGAUCCGAAGAUUUCCGAAUGAGGAAACUCACUUAGAGUAAUGUCUAAGUAUCAUUAAGUGAAUACAUAGCUUAAUGAGGGGAACUCAGGGAACUGAAA
Molecule: ribosomal RNA, 206 nt
Filed under: Clostridioides difficile
Lineage: Bacteria; Bacillati; Bacillota; Clostridia; Peptostreptococcales; Peptostreptococcaceae
Description: partial 23S ribosomal RNA
Rfam family: Bacterial large subunit ribosomal RNA
Source: RNAcentral